UACGUAGGGUGCGAGCGUUAAUCGGAAUUACUGGGCGUAAAGAGCGCGUAGGCUGUUUGGUAAGCGGAGGGUGAAAUUCCGGGGCUCAACCCCGGAGCUGCUCUCCGAACUGCCAGACUAGAGUUUGGGAGAGGGUAGUGGAAUUCCUGGUGUAGCGGUGGAAUGCGUAAAUAUCAGGAAGAACACCUGUGGCGAAGGCUGCUACCUGGAACAAUACUGACGCUGAGGCGCGAAAGCUAGGGGAGCGAACGGG
Molecule: ribosomal RNA, 253 nt
Filed under: uncultured bacterium
Lineage: Bacteria
Description: partial 16S ribosomal RNA
Rfam family: Bacterial small subunit ribosomal RNA
Source: RNAcentral